UUGACGGUACCCUACUAGAAAGGAGCCGCUAACUUCGUGCCAGAAGCGUCGGUAAUACGGGGGCUCCAAGCGUUAUCCGGUGUUAUUGGGCGUAAAGAGUCGUGUAGGUGGUUGGGUAAGUUAUCUUUCAAAUAUCUUUGCUUAACAAAGAGGAGGGGGAUAAUACUGCUCGACUAGAAUUUUCUCAAGGGAGAUCGGAACUGAGGGAGGAGUAGUGAAAUGCGUUGAUACCCUCGGGAACACCAGUGGCGUAGGCGGAUCUCUGGGAGAAGAUUGACACUGAGACACGAAAGCUAGGGGAGCGAAGCAGAUUAGAGACCUGCGUAGUCCUAGCCGUAAACGCAUGCUUGCUAGCUGCAUGAAUCUACCUUCGGGUGGUAUCGUGUGGCGAAGGUAACCCGUUAAGCAAGCCGCCUGGAAAGUACGGCCGCAAGGCUGAAAUUCAAAGGAAUUGGCGGGGAGGCACACAACCAGUGGAACAUGUGGUUUAAUUCGAGACUAACCGAAGAACCUCACCAGGGUUUGACAUGUAGCUGCACGUCUUAAGAAAUUAAGACUCUCUUGAAGGUGCUACACAGGUGCUGCAUGGCUGUCGUCAGCUCGUUCCGUGAGGAGUGCCCUUAAGUGGGACAACGAGCGCAACCCCUAUUACAUGUUAGAAAUGUCAUGUAGGACUGCCUUGCCAUUUGGCGGGGAGGAAGGAGGGG
This 707-nucleotide ribosomal RNA is filed under the name uncultured organism. Its description in RNAcentral is "bacterial SSU rRNA". It matches the Rfam family "Bacterial small subunit ribosomal RNA", at positions 469 to 1178 of the family's 1533-position model. The record is from RNAcentral.